UGAGCAAUCUGCCCUUCUCAUCGGAAUAAGCGUUGGAAACGACGUCUAAUGCCGAAUACGACCUCCUUUCGCAUGAUCGGAGGUGGAAAGCUCCGGCGGAGAAGGAUGAGCUCGCGGCCUAUCAGCUAGUUUGUGAGGUAACGCUCACCAAGGCGACGACGGGUAGCUGGUCUGAGAGGAUGGCCAGCCACAGUUGGGACUGAGACACGGCCCAGUAUUCCGUAACGGGG
RNAcentral lists this ribosomal RNA (230 nucleotides) under uncultured bacterium. RNAcentral's name for it is "partial 16S ribosomal RNA". It matches the Rfam family "Bacterial small subunit ribosomal RNA", at positions 118 to 346 of the family's 1533-position model. The record is from RNAcentral.